GAGGAAAAGAAACCAACAGGGAUUGCCUCAGUAACGGCGAGUGAAGCGGCAAAAGCUCGAAUUUGAAAUCCUCUUCGGAGGAGUUGUAAUUUGAAGCUGGUUCUUUAGGGAGUUUUGUUUUUGGCUGCGGAAGUGCCUUGGAACAGGCCGCCGUGGAGGGUGAGAGCCCCGUAUCGUGGCCAGCAAGAUUUUCGUACAAGGGCUAGCGAAGAGUCGAGUUGUUUGGGAAUGCAGCUCUAAGUGGGUGGUAUAUUCCAUCUAAGGCUAAAUAUGGGCGAGAGACCGAUAGCAAACAAGUACAGUGAUGGAAAGAUGAAAAGAACUUUGAAAAGAGAGUGAAAAAGUACGUGAAAUUGUUGAAAGGGAAGGGUAUUUGAUCCGACAUGGUAUUUAGAUGUCGCUUGCCCCCGUGGCGGGCGCUCCAUCUUUUUACUGGGCCAGCAUCGGUGCUGGGCGGGACAGGAGGUUUCUGUGAAUGUAGCCCCUCGGGGAACUUAUAGAACAGGAUUCAUACGUCUCUCCCCGGUACCGAGGACUGCGGGAAACCAAGGAUGCUGGCAUAACGAGCAAAUACCGCCCGUCUUG
This 585-nucleotide ribosomal RNA is filed under the name Brettanomyces naardenensis. RNAcentral describes it as "eukaryotic LSU rRNA". It matches the Rfam family "Eukaryotic large subunit ribosomal RNA", at positions 53 to 656 of the family's 3401-position model. The record is from RNAcentral. Lineage: Eukaryota; Fungi; Ascomycota; Pichiomycetes; Pichiales; Pichiaceae.